ACACUACUAUAUAACAAAUAAUUUGAGGAAACGAUCAAUAUAAAGAUGUGGUACAAGAGCGGAAGUAACCUUAUCAGCGUAGCCCUUUGUGUUACCACAUGCAUCCUAACUUUCAACUAUUGGUCCAUAUCACAAGAUAUGGUAAUUUUAGACGCUCAAGUAAAAGUUUGUCGUCAGAAAGAG
Molecule: long non-coding RNA, 183 nt
Organism: Bolinopsis microptera
Lineage: Eukaryota; Metazoa; Ctenophora; Tentaculata; Lobata; Bolinopsidae
Exons: 3
Source: RefSeq, a predicted model, not a curated record